CGCGCAGGCGGUUGGGCAAGUCUGACGUGAAAGCUCCUGGCUUAACUGGGAGAGGUCGUUGGAAACUGCUUAACUUGAGGCAAUGAGAGGGGCAUGGAAUUCCCGGUGUAGUGGUGGAAUGCGUAGAUAUCGGGAGGAACACCAGUGGCGCAAGCGAUGUCCUGGCAUUGGCCUGACGCUCAUGUGGCGAAAGCGUGGGGGAGCGAACG
RNAcentral lists this ribosomal RNA (209 nucleotides) under uncultured bacterium. RNAcentral describes it as "partial 16S ribosomal RNA". It matches the Rfam family "Bacterial small subunit ribosomal RNA", at positions 568 to 774 of the family's 1533-position model. The record is from RNAcentral.